Molecule: ribosomal RNA, 424 nt
Filed under: Escherichia coli
Lineage: Bacteria; Pseudomonadati; Pseudomonadota; Gammaproteobacteria; Enterobacterales; Enterobacteriaceae
Description: bacterial SSU rRNA
Rfam family: Bacterial small subunit ribosomal RNA
Source: RNAcentral
GGGGGACCUUCGGGCCUCUUGCCAUCGGAUGUGCCCAGAUGGGAUUAGCUUGUUGGUGGGGUAACGGCUCACCAAGGCGACGAUCCCUAGCUGGUCUGAGAGGAUGACCAGCCACACUGGAACUGAGACACGGUCCAGACUCCUACGGGAGGCAGCAGUGGGGAAUAUUGCACAAUGGGCGCAAGCCUGAUGCAGCCAUGCCGCGUGUAUGAAGAAGGCCUUCGGGUUGUAAAGUACUUUCAGCGGGGAGGAAGGGAGUAAAGUUAAUACCUUUGCUCAUUGACGUUACCCGCAGAAGAAGCACCGGCUAACUCCGUGCCAGCAGCCGCGGUAAUACGGAGGGUGCAAGCGUUAAUCGGAAUUACUGGGCGUAAAGCGCACGCAGGCGGUUUGUUAAGUCAGAUGUGAAAUCCCCCGGGCUAAA